This 587-nucleotide ribosomal RNA is filed under the name uncultured bacterium. RNAcentral's name for it is "partial 16S ribosomal RNA". It matches the Rfam family "Bacterial small subunit ribosomal RNA", at positions 355 to 1375 of the family's 1533-position model. The record is from RNAcentral.
UGGGGAAUUUUGGACAAUGGGCGAAAGCCUGAUCCAGCAAUGCCGCGUGUGUGAAGAAGGCCUUCGGGUUGUAAAGCACUUUUGUCCGGAAAGAAAUCCUUGGCUCUAAUACAGUCGGGGGGUGACGGUACCGGAAGAAUAAGCACCGGCUAACUACGUGCCAGCAGCCGCGGUAAUACGUAGGGUGCAAGCGUUAAUCGGAAUUACUGGGCGUAAAGCGUGCGCAGGCGGUUUGCUAAGACCGAUGUGAAAUCCCCGGGCUCAACCUGGGAACUGCAUUGGUGACUGGCAGGCUAGAGUAUGGCAGAGGGGGGUAGAAUUCCACGUGUAGCAGUGAAAUGCGUAGAGAUGUGGAGGAAUACCGAUGGCGAAGGCAGCCCCCUGGGCCAAUACUGACGCUCAUGCACGAAAGCGUGGGGAGCAAAACAGGAUUAGAUACCCUGGUAGUCCACGCCCUAAAACGAUGUCAACUAGUUGUUGGGGAUUCAUUUCCUUAGUAACGUAGCUAACGCGUGAAGUUGACCGCCUGGGGAGUACGGUCGCAAGAUUAAAACUCAAAUGAAUUGACGGGGUCAUAGCUGUUUCCU